GCUCUACAGGUUGUCGGGAGAAAAGCAGCAACAAUUAACUUUCCUCCCUUCACUGAGCCGGUCCAUGUACGCGCUCUUCCCACUGCAGACAGCCAGUCUGCAGCAGCGGCACGUGACCAACACUCCUCCCCGCUGACCUGCAAGCACCACACCUGCCACGUCCAUCUUGGCCCACAGGCUUGGCCCACCACGUUCUGGACUCUGAUGACAGGCGGAUGAGUGGGCUAACUCAAGUAGAAACAGAGCUGACCCACUCCUGCCUUCUUUGACUUCCACCAUAAUUCACAUCUAACCUGCCACAGUCCUGACUACACACCACCGCAGUCACAUGGCACGUUUGCCUUAUCUGCUAAACCAGGAGCUCUGAGGGGCAAUGAGCUACUGUGGUCAUUUCUGAAGGCCCCAAAAAGGUGUGCAAGAAAGGUCAACUGAAUGAUGGCUCCAUUCCCAUGUCCCUCUGGCUGACAGCUUUGUACCAGGAAAAUGAACAGAGUUCCUUAAUGUCUGGAGACAAUUCUUUACCUUGACUGACUUUGCUGAAAUAAAUCUGACCCACACCUGCCCAUUCCUGAAGUGGCAUGGCUGACAGAAA
This is a long non-coding RNA of Myotis lucifugus (little brown bat), 592 nucleotides long. RefSeq lists it as uncharacterized. NCBI's taxonomy places the organism in Eukaryota, Metazoa, Chordata, Mammalia, Chiroptera, Vespertilionidae. The record is from RefSeq and is a predicted model, not a curated record. The transcript has 2 exons.